CCUUUUUUUCUGUGCGUAUAUUCUGUUUUGCAUAAGUCGGUGUGCCACCGGAAGAACCGCCCAUGCAGCUGCAUUUUUCCUCCGUCCCUUGGCAGCUCUGUGGAAUGUCUGUUUAUGCGACUUGUAGUUAAUUUGCAAGUAGGUCGAGAGAGCUAGUUCCGUGCGGUCAGGACCACAGAUGUGACUAAACUGCCCAAGGCCACCACCAGAGCUCCGAGCAGAAACUUCCAAGAAAUUCCCUGAAAGACAUUUGCUGCAAAAGGCUGUCUAAGAUCGUGAACUUGUUCGGGCUGACAGUGACAUUUCAGGAGCUGAACAGAAGAGAUCCCUGGGGUCCACGGGAUAUACCAUCUUUCCCACGCAACCUUAUCUAGCAUUAUUACUUUCAGAAGUUGGUCACAUGACCACACAUAAAUCAAUAGACUGACAAAUAAAAGGCCUGAAACUGAGUCGAUUUCACUGUGCACAUUUAUUAAGUAUGUUCCCA
Molecule: long non-coding RNA, 487 nt
Organism: Cyprinus carpio carpio
Lineage: Eukaryota; Metazoa; Chordata; Actinopteri; Cypriniformes; Cyprinidae
Source: Ensembl